Coregonus clupeaformis (lake whitefish) is the source of this 892-nucleotide long non-coding RNA. RefSeq lists it as uncharacterized. The record is from RefSeq and is a predicted model, not a curated record. The transcript has 2 exons. NCBI's taxonomy places the organism in Eukaryota, Metazoa, Chordata, Actinopteri, Salmoniformes, Salmonidae.
UGUCUCUCUAUCCACACACCUGCGUCCCUCCACAGACACCACACCUGCGUCAACCCACCACGGACUGCUGCAAACCGGACUGUAGGGCUACCUGGUCUUUACUGAAGAGCGUGGAGCCCUGGGACGGGACUGGGGAGAAGGAGUCAGAGGAUGUGUCUGAAAUGGCACCCUAUGUUCAUAUAAGGAAUAGGGUGCCAAUUUGGACACAACCAGAGAGAGAGAGAGAGCAGCCCUGUCCUGGGGCCUACAUAGAGGGAGUGGAAUGGGGAGAGAGAAUCCAAGGCGGUCAACCGACAAGUAGUCUCAUGGUAUUCCCUCCCUCCCGCCAUCCUUAUCCUCUGAAGCUGUGGAGUGUGACAAUGGUGUUUGUGUCCUCUGCAAUCAAACGCCAUUAUCACACUAAAUAGCUACGGUUAGAGGAGAACAGCAUCACCGUGGCCCUGAGGUCACUCAAACAGAGAUACUGAUGGUGAAGUAUGGACCAUGGUUUUGCCUUAUUCUCUCCACAUGCCUUGCAUGUUGUUGUAGCUGGUUUGGACUCUACAUUGGUCACAUGCUGACUGAAAGGUAAGUAAUAAAAAUAGAAGUGUGAUACCGUGACAAAACAUGAAGCUUCAGAUGCUUGCUGACCCAUUUCCCUCUCUGCCUACAUGUGAGGUGAUAAUGUGUUACUAAUGCAAAGAUGUGAUCUUUUAGGGACCAAAAUACAUUAACCAUUUUGUUUCAUGUGAUUCAGGAGGAAAACUGUAUUGCGUGCUGUGCUGUCUGUGUUGUCAUUGAAACCAACACAAAACAUUCUAAAAGUGUAAACCUGAGGGUUGAUGUCCAGUUUAAUGACUGUAGGACCUUUCACAACUCUGAAGUUUAAAUUACAAUAAAGUCAUUGAAUGCA